GACGUAGGGGGCCAGCGUUGUUCGGAAUUACUGGGCGUAAAGGGUUCGUAGGCGGUGUGGCGAGUCGGGAGUGAAAUCUCUGGGCUCAACCCAGAGUCUGCUUCCGAAACUGCUGUGCUUGAGUGUGGGAGAGGCGCGUGGAAUUGCAGGUGUAGCGGUGAAAUGCGUAGAUAUCUGCAGGAACACCCGUGGCGAAAGCGGCGCGCUGGACCACUACUGACGCUGAGGAACGAAAGCUAGGGGAGCAAACAGG
RNAcentral lists this ribosomal RNA (253 nucleotides) under uncultured bacterium. RNAcentral's name for it is "partial 16S ribosomal RNA". It matches the Rfam family "Bacterial small subunit ribosomal RNA", at positions 524 to 776 of the family's 1533-position model. The record is from RNAcentral.